GGGGGCGCGGGCGGGCGCGGCAUCCCGGACCGGAUAGCGGCGGAGCGGAGCCGGAGGCCGAGCGCGCGCGCGCCCCGCCCGUCGGCACUCCCGGGGCGGGCCGGGGAGGUGUCCACAACGGCGGCGCGCUGCCCUUCCCCCACACCGCCCCCAGCUUCUGCCGCGUCCUGGAGGGGCCGGGGAGGGGAACCCCCGAAAGUCUCACUAGGGAGUUUUUGCUCCCGGGUCCCUGGGGACAGGGACAAGUGACCUCAGCAGUCUCCGGGGCCCUAGUCGCUCCCUCCGCCCCCCCUAAACUGAGAUCACACUCGAGAGCACCCGAAUGAAGGGUUUUAGAACUGUAACUGAAGUUUGCCUAAAGAUGCUUGCGAUCCCUGAUGCAACCGCGUCCCUUUUUGGAGUCAUUUAUUCACUCAACAAACAGCCAGCUCAAAUACCCCGGAACCCACGCUGGACACCAGCCUAAGGGCGGCAAACACCGCCUUGCCCUUCAAACCGCUGACCGGCUGGCUCAUCAGGGAGGCAGAUGCCCGGCCAGUGGGGUAUUGGGGCUCGGGCCCCUUUAGUGCCUCAGUGUGCUGGUCAUGCCUUCCGCAUUCAGCCGGGUCCCCUAAGAAAAGUGGCAGCGUCUCCACGUUUCCAUCAUUUACCCAGACCCUCCCUGGUGGAGCUGACGUGUGCGUGGGAGCUGCAGACCCGAGUCAGGUCUUUUUGAGGACAAGAGGUACACAUGUACCUCCAGGCCCCUCCGCCUGCCCUUCAUACGAAACGUGAAGACUGACGCACAGGCUGACAAAGCUAUACGAGUCUUUUCCCAAGGAGCAAGAGCCUGCAUGGGGAUGACACCGGGAGCUCGCAGGGCUGAUGCCCAGUGACCUUGCCAAGUCCAGACACUCCCUCGGUUGCAAUCCCUUCCUCCAACAGCAAACCACUGGAUAUAUGGACAGCUUCAGCAGAGAGCGCAAGAAAAGGGCCAAUAAAAGACCACUGAAGAACCAAAAUACAGGACACUGGAUUCUUCUCUCACUCCGUCCGGGUCUAGAGGGCUUGCUGAAGCUGCUUCACAAAGCAUGCCCUCGAAAAAGCAGCAGUGAACGGCUUGCCAGGGAGAACCUCGCCUACCUUUUGGAUCCUGCAACACCCAGGCUCUUACCCGGAUAGAAGCCUCUGGAGCGGGCUGCAGAAACAGAAAGGAACAGAAGUAACUCCAAGGCACUAAACCAUCAAGAAAAGAAGGCUGACUUGGGAGGUGACAAUUAAGGCUGUGUUGAAAAGAGGCAAUGAGCUAUCUGGAGGAAGAGCCCAUUACAAAAAGAGAGAAAGAAAGAAGGAAAAGACAAAACGUGGGGACAGAUUAUUUACCCAAGACGAUACACAGAUGACAGACAAGCACCUAAAAAGAGGCUCGACAUCGUUGCUCAUUAGGAGCGAGUUAAAGCAGCAAGGAGAUAUCACGAGACACCUAUUAAAAUUACUUAAAGGACGUGGUGAAACCAGCCGUCUUUGCCAACGAGGAGCAGUAGGCAGUGCCCGACAUGGCGGGCACCUGAGAAAACGGUCUGAUGGUUUCUCAUGAAGUUCAGCGGCCUGACCUGAGGGCUGGCAGUCCCAUCGCUAGGCUUUAAGCCAAGUGAAAUGAAAACUUGUGUUGACACGAGGACCUGUACACAGAUACUCACCACCAAACGCUGGAAACACCCCAGCCUCCCAGAUGAACCUCGGCCAGGAACGCAUAAACAAACCGCCGCACAGCCACGUGAUGGGAUUCGCCACAUCGACAAAAACGAGCAAAGUGCAGGCGCGUGGAACAACACGGAUGAACCCCGAACGCACUGGGUGUGCUUUCACGUACAGGACAUUGCGGGUGAAGCACAAUGAUGGAGACGCGAACAGAUGAGCGGGUCCAGGGGCUGGAGGUCUGGGGAAAGGCUGACCACAAAAUGAUGUGGGAAUUUGGCGGGAGGGUUGACUGUGGUGGCGAUUGUGUGACUCUGUGUAUCUGUCAAAAGUGGCAAAACUGUGCACUAAAAAAAGUGAGUUUUACUCUAUGUAAAUAGUACCUUUUUACAAAUCAAAACAAGAACUUUACAGAGCUUGCGUUUAUAGACCCCCCCCCAAACGAAGACUGAGAACCGUGUUGCCCAAUCCAGAAGCCGCGAACCACAACUGGCUGUCUAUGUGUAUCCUAAUUAAAAUGUAUAUUUUAUGUAUAUUCUAAUUAAAA
Molecule: long non-coding RNA, 2224 nt
Organism: Ailuropoda melanoleuca (giant panda)
Lineage: Eukaryota; Metazoa; Chordata; Mammalia; Carnivora; Ursidae
Exons: 2
Source: RefSeq, a predicted model, not a curated record